Molecule: long non-coding RNA, 2181 nt
Organism: Macrobrachium nipponense
Lineage: Eukaryota; Metazoa; Arthropoda; Malacostraca; Decapoda; Palaemonidae
Exons: 2
Source: RefSeq, a predicted model, not a curated record
CUUCUGUGGGGUAAGGUUGCACGGUAAUGAUAAAAUUUACGUACUCAGUCCACAUACUGUGAGCUGAAGUGAGAGCAUCGGUUACUUUGUUGUUUACCUUUCUUGUGCAAUCAAAUAGCAUCUCCAUGAAACACAUUACAAUAAAAUAAAAAGAAAACCGCUGGGACUGCUAACGCGUUUGACACAAGAGGCUACCAGCCAUAUUGGAUUCGGACCAUUCAGUACAGUUGAACGCUGUCGCCUACGAAGUAAAGUCUUUUCGGUGAAAGUUCUCAUUGGGUUUCCGGACAAAGGAACAUAUUAAUGCCUACUAAUACGUAAUUUGCUAUAACUCGGUAGUCGAUUACAUGGUAUGGAUUUACAAAAAAUAAUGGAGAUUUGGCACAGCGGGUAACUAUCUCUUUUUAAAGGUAGAUGGCAGCACGAGCCACUCAGUGAGUCUCUUGCAUUCCACGGCCACGUUCCCCAACCCUUUUCUGUGUACACGCACUUGGAACUGAUUAAUUUUGCCUUGCUGAUGACGAACAGAUAGAAAAAUAAGAAAGGCUGGAAGUUACCGACAUUGCUGAACAACGGAACCUGGCUGAGAUUCUCCAUGGAAGAAUUUAAAGUCAAAUGCCUGGAUAGAUCAGCUGCACCUUCCAGACUGUUUGUCGCUGCAGACUGCUGCAGUGGAGCAAUGACCAACAACACCGUCCACGGAAUAAGCACCAUUAUCAGGGAGAGAGCUUACUUCACAAAUUUCUCCUGGGGUAAUAAGAAUAUCCCAGUACUUCCUCUGCCUUUUGACAAAAAGGUAGCCCAGCAGCUGAUACGUUUAUCUACCAUGGACCGGCCUUACCCCCGCUUACUAUGUCGCCGAGGACCUUCGUUACUAUAUCCUGUUAGCUACGACUUUCGUGAUGGUGGCGAUUAUGAUCGCUGUGAAUGUAUUCGUUUGGUGUAGGAUGAAGAGAACAAGAAUGGCUCACCAACAGAAUGUCAGAGCUCGUCCGAACAAUCUUCCACGUGCCCUCAAGGUAUUUGAUGUACAGGUCACAAGAAACCGGCCAUUUUAUUUGGCACGUGGUGGUUUGUUUGGAAUUGUGAAAUGGGCGAAAAGUUGAUCAGGUCAUUAGCUAAUUGUGAAGUCAAGAACCUCAUUGACAAUGCAUUCCAUUUGUAAAAGUACCUGAAUACAAAGUAAUCAGCACACACUUACCUAUAUCAGUGUGCAUCUAAGUGAAGCAUAUAGAAUUUAAACAAUGAAUUAAUAUAUCUGUGUGUAUGCACUAGGAAUCUAUAUAAACUGCACAUAUUUUAAUCAAAUUUAUUUGAAUCAGUAAUUUGAAUCAAUAAAUACAUGCAUACAUAUAUCAGGUUACCUAUAGUAUAUUACCUAUGAGGUGAUACCUAUUAUCUUAUAUCUUAUCACAUUUUGGUACCAUUAACUUUUAUCAAAAUAUGAUUUUUAUCAAUAUAUAAUCUUUGUGUGUCAUGUAACCAUCAGAAAUACGUUAGUAUUUUUGUUGAAUAUAUAUCUUCAUGAUUUGCUUUUAUAUAAAUGUAUCAAUAAAUCACACAUAUAACCCUUGGUAUUUAGUCAAAAUCAUAGGCAUAUGUCUUGUACGUGGAUCUAUAUCUAUAUACUCUAUGUAUCUUUUAUUUAUAGUAUAUUCAUUUAUAUAUAUAUAUGAUUUUUACAUAUAACCAGUCCAAUAUAAUUUUCUUAAUCAUUCUGUUUUGGUAGUUAUAUGUUUACCAUAACUUGUGUUAUCUAUAUCUGAAAUAACACUUGCACACAUGCUGUGGUAAGGCAAUCUUUCCGACCUGACUGUUCUUUUAUAUUGGAUUUUGUUAUUGUGACCGAGCGAUAUCGGAGGAAAGUAUGCCCUAAAACCACUGUCCAGGAUGUGUGAGUGUGUGAACCUUACCUAAGGCAAAUGUAUGAAAAACAUCAACAACCUAUAUUCCUUGGGAACCACUCCGGCUCUCACAAGAACGAGAAGGAUGAUAUGUCUUAACCUAGAUAAGGUUCGUAUGCCUGUAUCUUUGAUUAGGUUUGCUCGCCUAUGAUUUGGAAAUGUAUUGUAACUCAAGACUUCCUCUACUCCUCUUGGUUCAAACAUCUAUUCAGAAACCUUCUCUGCAAGCUAUCUCAAGAAGUAAACCUGUUACAGAAAUAUAAGUGUAUUUUUGCUA